Molecule: transfer RNA, 76 nt
Filed under: Phytohabitans flavus
Lineage: Bacteria; Bacillati; Actinomycetota; Actinomycetes; Micromonosporales; Micromonosporaceae
Description: tRNA-Trp
Rfam family: tRNA
About the family: Transfer RNA (tRNA) molecules are approximately 80 nucleotides in length. Their secondary structure includes four short double-helical elements and three loops (D, anti-codon, and T loops).
Source: RNAcentral
AGGGGUGUAGCUCAGCCCGGUUAGAGCGACGGUCUCCAAAACCGUAGGUCGCGGGUUCGAAUCCUGCCGCCCCUGC